This 468-nucleotide ribosomal RNA is filed under the name uncultured bacterium. Its description in RNAcentral is "partial 16S ribosomal RNA". It matches the Rfam family "Bacterial small subunit ribosomal RNA", at positions 28 to 507 of the family's 1533-position model. The record is from RNAcentral.
GACGAACGCUGGCGGCGUGCUUAACACAUGCAAGUCGAACGGAAAGGCCCUGCUUUUGUGGGGUGCUCGAGUGGCGAACGGGUGAGUAACACGUGAGUAACCUGCCCUUGACUUUGGGAUAACUUCAGGAAACUGGGGCUAAUACCGGAUAGGAGCUCCUGCUGCAUGGUGGGGGUUGGAAAGUUUCGGCGGUUGGGGAUGGACUCGCGGCUUAUCAGCUUGUUGGUGGGGUAGUGGCUUACCAAGGCUUUGACGGGUAGCCGGCCUGAGAGGGUGACCGGCCACAUUGGGACUGAGAUACGGCCCAGACUCCUACGGGAGGCAGCAGUGGGGAAUCUUGCACAAUGGGCGGAAGCCUGAUGCAGCAACGCCGCGUGCGGGAUGACGGCCUUCGGGUUGUAAACCGCUUUCGCCUGUGACGAAGCGUGAGUGACGGUAAUGGGUAAAGAAGCACCGGCUACCUACGUG